UAUCUACUACCUCCAUUUCAUAAUUCUUGUCGAAAUCUUACAUGUAUCUAGACACUUUUUAGAAAUAGAUACAUCCAUUUUUAGACAAAUUUGAGACAAGAAUUAUGAAACGGAGGGAGUAGCAU
This is a non-coding RNA of Brachypodium distachyon (stiff brome), 125 nucleotides long. The record is from Rfam. NCBI's taxonomy places the organism in Eukaryota, Viridiplantae, Streptophyta, Magnoliopsida, Poales, Poaceae.